Molecule: long non-coding RNA, 941 nt
Organism: Ostrea edulis (European flat oyster)
Lineage: Eukaryota; Metazoa; Mollusca; Bivalvia; Ostreida; Ostreidae
Exons: 3
Source: RefSeq, a predicted model, not a curated record
CCCAGCAGGCACGCAACGUUGUUUCAACGUUGAUAUUUGGAUGUGACGUCGAACAACCAUUUUUCAACGUUGGUUCAACGUUACUAUUUCGACGUCGAAAUUUCAACGUUGUACUGACGUCGAAUCAACGUUUAGAAUCAAGUGUUGGAAGGGUUCCAAAUAAUUAUGUUUUUCUUAAUUCGUGUUAAUUAAUCUGUGUAUACUCAAUAAAGUAUAAAUUUAUCAUUUUGAGAGAGGAUUUAAAAUUAGUCGACAAUUCGACGUCUAUAUGACGUCUAAGUGACGUUGAAAAUAAAUGAUUUUACAAACACGUACAUAUUUUUAUAAAAAUUCUUUAAAAAAAAAAAUCAGUAUAAGAUGUAAAAAAAAAAAAAAAAAAAAAAAAAAGCUUUAAUAUGUUUUUAUGUUUUUAAAAUAAAUAUGAAUGCAUGUUUGGCUACUAUUAAAGGGCGGGUAACUCUAAUUCCGGUUUAUGACAGGAAGUGUACGAUUAAAAGCGCGGGCUUUCAGCGAGGUAAACAAGGGAAGACAAAGGACAAUAGGAAAAGAAAGAGAAUAUACGAUCUACACGAACUGAGCGGUGCUAGAGAUGUUUGGCUAAUGACAUGAUGGCAAGAAUGAAUUUGCGAGCAAACAAGGGAAAGGCAACCUUCAGCAGAACAAUUCUGUAUUCCGUUAUAAAAGAAUGUGUACUCGCCAGCAAUCCAAGGGCAACUGAAAGCAACAAAGACUAGAUCAUGGGGGAAAUAUCUGAAGUAUGCCCCUGAAAGAGCUGGAGGAGGUGGCCGAAAAGAGAACAAUGACUACUAGGCUUUAAUUAAAAAUAUAGUUUUUUGUGGGUCACUCACACUCUUGGAAAAAAACCACUCUAGUUAAAUAUCUUAACUAUUGCUUCUGCAAUAGAAAGUAAUUAUCAAAGUUAAUAAAUUUUAUACUAUCAU